AUAUUCACAGCUGAAUGUACAAACUGCAUGUAAUUUUCUGAGUUUCCUUGGCUAGAAAACAGGAAUAAUGGUUCUCAUCCUCUAGGGUUGUUUUAAAGACGGAGAUUCUGAAUUAAACGGGAGUAAUGAGUUAUAAUAAUAAUUAACUGGAAAUGAAUCAUAAUAAAUAAGUGGGAGUGAGUGGUCAGCAAGGUAUACUGGGUAAGUAAUGACAUGCUCCUACAGAAACAAGUCAGGACUCCUGAGGGGCCUCUCAGUAUACCAUACAUACAGGGUACUGGUAGAACUCAUGGGCAAAGCAAAAGCAAGUAUGGUAUUAGACUGAACUUGCCAAAAUUAACUUAAAAAAAAUUCUGAUUUUAUGUGUUUUAACCUAUACUUCUGGGGAGUCCUGGACAGCCCGUUAGUGCAGCCUGGUUGUGGUUGGAGAGAUGGUACUAAAAGACAUCAGAGCCAAGCUCCAGUCUGUGACAACCCAAGGACAUCCAGGAGCCACUGGAAGAUGAUGAGAUCAGAUUUGCCUUUAGCACCAUCACUCUGAUCAUGGUGUGCAAUACAGAUGGGGGUGGGGACUAUGAGAAGACCUUAGAUGCAGUUAAAAUUAUUCAAGCAAGAGAGACUGGUGUCAGUGAAUGGAGACAAGUAGGUGGGGUCAAGAAAGUCUAAGAGGUAGAGUGAUUGCCUAGUAUUUGCAAGGCACUGGGUUUGAUCCUCAGCACUGAAAGAAAAAAAGAAACAAGAAAGAAACGAAGAGAAAAAAGGCCAAGAACCUGGGACUGAUUGGAUGGGAGUAAUGAAGAAGGAGGAGUCAAGGACUGCUCUCUGCUUUUUUGGUUUAUGUGACUAAAUGGCUAGUACUGGCGUUCUCUGUGAGAGCAGGGAAAGGAAAAUAGGACUGGAGAAGCUGAAAUCAGCUUUGGACAGAUUUCACCUGAGUUGUCAGUGAACGCCCAAGUAGAGGCAUGCUGGUUAAGUAGGUGGACA
This 984-nucleotide long non-coding RNA is filed under the name Marmota monax (woodchuck). The record is from RNAcentral. Lineage: Eukaryota; Metazoa; Chordata; Mammalia; Rodentia; Sciuridae.